RNAcentral lists this long non-coding RNA (277 nucleotides) under Nicotiana benthamiana. Its description in RNAcentral is "long non-coding RNA (NBEN_LNC023429)". The record is from RNAcentral. Lineage: Eukaryota; Viridiplantae; Streptophyta; Magnoliopsida; Solanales; Solanaceae.
AUGGGACGCUCGCAGACCUGUAUGGAAGGAAGAGAAUUAUUAGAACUCUCGUCCGCCCCUCUCUUUACCCUCUGUAGCUGAACUUUCUUACUUAUGCGAUGAGGAGCUUACUUAGUAUUGAAAUCGAGUUGGCAGAAAGUACCGAAAGUCGGCCGCCCGCCCUAUCAUCCCGUGUCUCAACCAACCUUUUUCUUGUCGGAAAAUCUCUCUUUUGGCUUUUGAAACUUCGAUUCGUGACAGCUACUCAUACGUGCCAAAGAGACUUCCUUCCCUUACC